RNAcentral lists this ribosomal RNA (467 nucleotides) under uncultured bacterium. RNAcentral describes it as "partial 16S ribosomal RNA". It matches the Rfam family "Bacterial small subunit ribosomal RNA", at positions 28 to 507 of the family's 1533-position model. The record is from RNAcentral.
GACGAACGCUGGCGGCGUGCUUAACACAUGCAAGUCGAACGGAAAGGCCCUGCUUUUGCGGGUGUUCGAGUGGCGACCGGGUGAUUAACACGUGGGUAAUCUGCCCUUGAUUUUGGGAUAAUUUCAGGAAACUGGGGCAAAUACCGGAUAGGAGCUCCUGCUGCAUGGUGGGGCUUGGGAAGUUUCGGCGGUUGGGGAUGGUUUUGCGGCUUAUCGGCUUGUUGGUGGGUGAGUGGCUUACCAAGGCUUUGGCGGGUAGCCGGCCUGAGAGGGUAACCGGGGACAAUGCGACUGAGGUACGGAGCAGAGUCCAACGGUAGGCAGCGGGGGAGAGUAUGGCACAGUGGGGCGGAGCCUGAGGCGGCGGCGCCGCGUGCGGGAUGACGGCCUACGAGUGAUAAACCGCUGUCGCCUGUGACGAAGCGGGAGUGACGGUAAUGGGUAAAGAAGCACCGGCUAACUACGUG